AACCUGCCCAAGAGAUCGGGAUAACACCUGGAAACAGAUGCUAAUACCGGAUAACAACAGAUGAUGCCUAUCAACUGUUUAAAAGAUGGUUCUGCUAUCACUCUUGGAUGGACCUGCGGUGCAUUAGCUAGUUGGUAGGGUAACGGCCUACCAAGGCGAUGAUGCAUAGCCGAGUUGAGAGACUGAUCGGCCACAUUGGGACUGAGACACGGCCCAAACUCCUACGGGAGGCAGCAGUU
This 239-nucleotide ribosomal RNA is filed under the name uncultured Lactobacillus sp. Its description in RNAcentral is "partial 16S ribosomal RNA". It matches the Rfam family "Bacterial small subunit ribosomal RNA", at positions 123 to 355 of the family's 1533-position model. Lineage: Bacteria; Bacillati; Bacillota; Bacilli; Lactobacillales; Lactobacillaceae. The record is from RNAcentral.